GACGAACCGUGCGAACGUUGUUCGGAAUCACUGGGCUUAAAGGGCGCGUAGGCGGGCAGACAAGUCCGGGGUGAAAUCUUUCGGCUCAACCGGAAAAUUGCCUUGGAUACUGUCUGUCUCGAGGGAGGUAGGGGCAUGUGGAACUUCCGGUGGAGCGGUGAAAUGCGUUGAUAUCGGAAGGAACUCCGGUGGCGAAAGCGACGUGCUGGACCUCUUCUGACGCUGAGGCGCGAAAGCUAGGGGAGCAAACGGG
This 253-nucleotide ribosomal RNA is filed under the name uncultured bacterium. RNAcentral describes it as "partial 16S ribosomal RNA". It matches the Rfam family "Bacterial small subunit ribosomal RNA", at positions 524 to 776 of the family's 1533-position model. The record is from RNAcentral.